This 253-nucleotide ribosomal RNA is filed under the name uncultured bacterium. Its description in RNAcentral is "partial 16S ribosomal RNA". It matches the Rfam family "Bacterial small subunit ribosomal RNA", at positions 524 to 776 of the family's 1533-position model. The record is from RNAcentral.
UACGUAGGGGGCUAGCGUUGUCCGGAAUCAUUGGGCGUAAAGAGCGUGUAGGCGGCCCGGUAAGUCCGCUGUGAAAGUCGGGGGCUCAACCCUCGAAUGCCGGUGGAUACUGUCGGGCUAGAGUGCGGAAGAGGCGAGUGGAAUUCCUGGUGUAGCGGUGAAAUGCGCAGAUAUCAGGAGGAACACCAGUGGCGAAGGCGCCACUCUGGGCCGUAACUGACGCUGAGGAGCGAAAGCGUGGGUAGCAAACAGG